AGCUGACUCUGAUGGGCUUCACCAUCCCAGAACAUACAAUCCGUGACUAAAUGGAGGGCAUCACCUGUGCUCUAAAGGCCAGACUGGCACCUGCUAACAAGGUCUGCAAGGUAAAACAUUGUCCCCCUCCAGAAUCCAGACUUUGAUCUCAUCUUUUAGCAGCAUCUUAGACCAGUGUGUUUAUGUGGGUGUUCAGGCCUCCAAAGCCUUCACAAACAGCAACGGGCAGGAAGCUUUCUUAUGAAAAAGAAAAGGAAAAAAUGCCAGUUUUCACUGGGUGAAACGACUAUUUUCUGCAUACUAGUUUGAGACUGAGCCAAAGCUGUGAAAGCGGACUAUGAUUUUUGACCCUUCUCAUAACUACUUUCCCUCAUCUGUAGAGGUGAGUAAAAUCAUGCUAAGUACACUGCACUUCUAGGCUCUGAUGAGGAGAGUCAAACAAAACCUGUAUAUAGAAGUUUUAAUGCUGAUAUGGCUAAGAUUAACCUCGGAUUGAGCCUGAGGUUUGUAGUUGAGAUCAGCUACAGCUGCAACACCUGGACCAGAGUUUCACUGGAGUCAGGGGAUCAGAUUGCUUUGGCUUGGACCCCUACUCUACUGUGGACACUUUUUCAUUAGGCUAAUCCAUGGUCCCCCAGAUUGGCCCCAACAUCACCCCAAUUUUGUGCCAUGGUUGAUGAGGUGGUGUUGCAGAGCUGGAAAAUACCCUCAGAUCUCAAAAGAAAGAUGCAAAGUCCUGUAACCAAGUUAUGCUUAUUCCUACAUGCUCACACUCAUGGCAUAUCAGGAACUCAGGGCAGCCAAUUUUUCAAGCAGUGCUAAAACAUGUAUUUCACAUUGGUGAAAGGGAGGGACACCGAGCACUUAACCCUGCUCUUAGCCCUUCCCCCAGUUUUCUCUUUCUUGAGCCUGAAUUCAACUGGAAGCAUUAUUUUUAGAGCUGUUGAAUUUAACCCCAAACUCACCCACCCUUCCAGAAUCCUACUGUUGUGCCACAGUAAUGAUGUAAUACACAGUCAUCCCAUAACCAGGACUUGUACAGCACAAAGCCCAUUUGCACCCAUCAGAGUCUGCAAGGCAGCAUCAACCGAUGACUUAUCUUCUGGAGCACUGAAGGAAUUGAGUUCUGCCGAAGAAAUUAUUUAUGAAGAUUUUCCAAGUUGCUCAGAGCUUCAGAUGGAGGAGGUUGAAUAUGACUUCUUUAAUAAAACAGGCUGGGAUGUCAUGAAUGAGUUAAAAGGUCACAGGAAGGAAAUGUUGGACCAAGAACCUUGUGGUUAAAGAAUGAUCAUAAAAAGAGGGAGAAGAUCAACAGGAAGAUUUUAUUUUAAUACAACAAUCCAUAAAGAAAUUAAAUCUCUUGUGAGAAAGAAACCUUUGAUUUUAAAGUUAAAAUUCUAACAGAAGGUUUAAGGUUUGAAAUAACAGAUUUUUAUAUUAAAGCUAAGCUCAGAACUGAUUGAAAACUAGGGCACAUAAGGCUUCUUAGACCUCUUUCUGCCAUCUAUCUUCACUUCAACAAGUAUGUGAAACAUGAAUUCUUUAGAUAUAUAAACUCUCAUGUCUAAGCAAAACACUGGUAGAGGACUCUCUAGGAGUACUCCAGCUGCCAAAUCCAAUGCUUUCCAUAAUCAGGCAUCAGUCUGGAGUACAGCGUGAUGUACAGCUGUAGUGAUCCUGGUGGGUGAGCUUCUUAUGGCCACUGAGAGAGGGAAGAUGUGUAUGUUACUGUUACUUGAUCCAUCAACAGCCUUCAACACCACCAGUCCCUUGGGUGCAGCUGAUUCACUUACAGGACCUGGCAGGCCUGGAUGUGCAGCUCUGUGUGGACUCUGCAUGUUCCUCUUGGACAGAUAACAGAAGACCCUCCGUCAUGGGAUAUGUAGCUUUCAAUCCCAUCUUCUGCCUUUGCAAACGUAUUUGUGGGAUCUAUCAUCAAGAGCACUCGCACAGUUGCCUGUCUACUUUUGCAGAGGCAGUCAAUGUUAUUGCCCAGAUGUCCCAGUGCUGGUGAGAAACAAGUACAUGGAUGAAAAGAAGCUGGAUCCAAUUCUUUGUGGAUAAGACACGGUGAGUUUCACAGGGAAAGGGAAUACUUCAAGGAUCUCACCUUUUGUAGAAGGUUUACCCUACUGAUCAUCAGCAUGAUUCACAGAUCCAAACUUCAGCUGGGAGUGCUGUCACUCACAAGUGCACAGGUGGCAAUGCUGAGGAAAGUCUUCCUUUUUAAGGGGCUAGAAAGAAACGUAUGCUCAUUUGCCUGGAGUGAUUGACUAACUUC
RNAcentral lists this long non-coding RNA (2281 nucleotides) under Anser brachyrhynchus (Pink-footed goose). Its description in RNAcentral is "lncRNA (ENSABRG00000018995.1)". Lineage: Eukaryota; Metazoa; Chordata; Aves; Anseriformes; Anatidae. The record is from RNAcentral.